AUUGUGUGAAUACAUAGCACAUUCGAGGUAGACGCAGAGAACUGAAACAUCUAAGUACCUGCAGGAAGAGAAAGAAAAUUCGAUUCCCUGAGUAGCGGCGAGCGAAACGGGAAAAGCCCAAACCAGCAAGCUUGCUUGUUGGGGUUGUAGGACUCCAAUAUGGUAGUUCUUUCAGAUAGUCGAAUGACUUGGAAAAGUCAGUCAAAGAGGGUAAAAACCCCGUAGACGAAAUGUGGAAGACACCUAGGAGGAUCCUGAGUACGGCGGAACACGAGAAAUUCCGUCGGAAUCCGGGAGGACCAUCUCCCAAGGCUAAAUACUCCCUAGUGACCGAUAGUGAACCAGUACCGUGAGGGAAAGGUGAAAAGCACCCCGGAAGGGGAGUGAAAUAGAACCUGAAACCGUGUGCCUACAACAAGUCAAAGCCCGUUAAUGGGUGAUGGCGUGCCUUUUGUAGAAUGAACCGGCGAGUUACGAUUGCAUGCGAGGUUAAGUUGAAGAGACGGAGCCGCAGCGAAAGCGAGUCUGAAUAGGGCGUUUGAGUAUGUAGUCGUAGACCCGAAACCAUGUGAUCUACCCAUGUCCAGGUUGAAGGUGCGGUAAAACGCACUGGAGGACCGAACCCACGUACGUUGAAAAGUGCGGGGAUGAGGUGUGGGUAGCGGAGAAAUUCCAAACGAACUUGGAGAUAGCUGGUUCUCUCCGAAAUAGCUUUAGGGCUAGCCUCGGAAUUGAGAAUGAUGGAGGUAGAGCACUGUUUGGACUAGGGGCCCAUCUCGGGUUACCGAAUUCAGAUAAACUCCGAAUGCCAUUCAUUCAUAUCCGGGAGUCAGACUGUGAGUGAUAAGAUCCAUAGUCGAAAGGGAAACAGCCCAGACCACCAGCUAAGGUCCCAAAAUAUAUGUUAAGUGGAAAAGGAUGUGGGGUUGCACAGACAACUAGGAUGUUGGCUUAGAAGCAGCCACCAUUUAAAGAGUGCGUAAUAGCUCACUAGUCGAGUGACCCUGCGCCGAAAAUGUACCGGGGCUAAACAUAUUACCGAAGCUGUGGAGUACACCUUUAGGUGUAUUGGUAGGAGAGCGUUCUAAGGGCGUUGAAGGCAGAUCGUGAGGACUGCUGGAGCGCUUAGAAGUGAGAAUGCCGGUAUGAGUAGCGAAAGACAGGUGAGAAUCCUGUCCACCGAAUGACUAAGGUUUCCUGGGGAAGGCUCGUCCGCCCAGGGUUAGUCGGGACCUAAGCCGAGGCCGACAGGCGUAGGCGAUGGAUAACAGGUUGAUAUUCCUGUACCCGUUGUUUUUGUUUGAGCAAUGGAGGGACGCAGGAGGCUAAGGAAUGCAGACGAUCGGAAAUGUCUGUCCAA
RNAcentral lists this ribosomal RNA (1360 nucleotides) under Enterococcus faecium. RNAcentral describes it as "partial 23S ribosomal RNA". It matches the Rfam family "Bacterial large subunit ribosomal RNA", at positions 153 to 1515 of the family's 2925-position model. The record is from RNAcentral. Lineage: Bacteria; Bacillati; Bacillota; Bacilli; Lactobacillales; Enterococcaceae.